Long non-coding RNA from Oncorhynchus keta (chum salmon), 1060 nucleotides. RefSeq lists it as uncharacterized. The transcript has 5 exons. The record is from RefSeq and is a predicted model, not a curated record. NCBI's taxonomy places the organism in Eukaryota, Metazoa, Chordata, Actinopteri, Salmoniformes, Salmonidae.
CUGUGAUCUGUCUCCUAUCACCAGGGUUAGGGUUAAUGAAGCUGUGAUCUGUCUCUCCUAUCACCAGGGUUAGGGUUAAUGAAGCUGUGAUCUGUCUCUCCUAUCACCAGGGUUAGGGUUAAUGAAGCUGUGAUCUGUCUCUCCUAUCACCAGGGUUAGGGUUAAUGAAGCUGUGAUCUGUCUCUCCUAUCACCAGGGUUCAGGUUAGGGUUAAUGAAGCUGUGAUCUGUCUCUCCUAUCACCAGGGUUAGGGUUAAUGAAGCUGUGAUCUGUCUCUCCUAUCACCAGGGUUCAGGUUAGGGUUAAUGAAGCUGUGAUCUGUCUCUCCUAUCACCAGGGUUCAGGUUAGGGUUAAUGAAGCUGUGAUCUGUCUCUCCUAUCACCAGGGUUAGGGUUAAUGAAGCUGUGAUCUGUCUCUCCUAUCACCAGGGUUAGGGUUAAUGAAGCUGGGAUCUGUCUCUCCUAUCACCAGGGUUCAGGUUAGGGUUAAUGAAGCUGUGAUCUGUCUCUCCUAUUACCAGGGUUAGGGUUAAUGAAGCUGGGAUCUGUCUCUCCUAUCACCAGGGUUCAGGUUAGGGUUAAUGAAGCUGGGAUCUGUCUCUCCUAUCACCAGGGUUCAGGUUAAUGAAGCUGUGAUCUGUCUCUCCUACCACCAGGGUUAGGGUUAAUGAAGCUGUGAUCUGUCACUCCUAUCACCAGGGUUCAGGUUAGGGUUAAUGAAGCUGGGAUCUGUCUCUCCUAUCACCAGGGUUCAGGUUAAUGAAGCUGUGAUCUGUCUCCCCCCACCAGGGUUAGGGUUAAUGAAGCUGUGAUCUGUCUCUCCUAUCACCAGGGUUCAGGUUAAUGAAGCUGUGACCUGUCUCUCCCCCCACCAGGGUUCAGGUUAGGGUUAAUGAAGCUGUGAUCUGUCUCUCCUAUCACCAGGGUUCAGGUUAGGGUUAAUGAAGCUGUGAUCUGUCUCUCCUAUCACCAGGGUUCAGGUUAGGGUUAAUGAAGCUGUGAUCUGUCUCUCCUAUCACCAGGGUUAGGGUUAAUGAAGCUGUGAUCUGUCACUCCUACC